RNAcentral lists this long non-coding RNA (3496 nucleotides) under Theobroma cacao (cacao). RNAcentral describes it as "long non-coding RNA (TCAC_LNC002041)". The record is from RNAcentral. Lineage: Eukaryota; Viridiplantae; Streptophyta; Magnoliopsida; Malvales; Malvaceae.
CCCGAAUGCCGAUCGAAACCCCGCAAGGCUUAGCAUCAGCUUCCGCAUCUCCCCGGUGAGCGACAGUUAUUAAAUCUCGCAUUUCAAGAAAUCAUAAGUCAUUUCCAAAUUAAAUCAAUAAAAUAUUAUUUUCUAGCUCACAGGGGCAUUUUCGUCAUUUUUCUUUGAUAAUACCGAAACUCGCCAAAAACAUGGUGUAAAAGCUAAAUAUGUUCAUACAUAUUUUAAAUCAGAUAACUAAAGUAUAAAAUUACUUUUACAAUGACACGUGGGCCCCCAACUAACCAAUAAAAUGCGAGUCUGUGAACCUAUAAUUUUGACAAUGCAAGGCUAACUGAAGUCCUUGAUGCAAUCGGCUAUCUACCGGCUAUCUCGAACCUGAAAUGUGAGAAAUUGAGGGUGGUGAGAUUAUAAAAUCCUAGUGAGUAAAGAGACACCAUCUAAACUAUCUAAAGACGAGUAAAUGGAAAUAAUAAAAAAUAAUUAACUUCAGCAAAUUUUUCACAUCACGAAUAUUCAUUUCAACCAAAUAAUCAAUAUGGCUCGUGAAUUACUCGAAACUUGGCUCAUGCCAAAUCCUGUACUCGGUGACACCUAGACCAGGGGUAUCCAACCGAGCCCGUCAAGGUUGUUAAAAAUUCAUAUUUCGCAUAAAUCAUAUUUUUAUUUUGAAACAUAGCCAUUCUUUGACGUUGGCUGAGUCUCACUCUCACGCGGUGGUCCACGUGAAGUGCACUAAAAAAGCCCACCUUAAGAGAUACCCUACGCGCCUCUACGACCAAGGUGAGAAUAUAAAGGAGUUUACCGUGCCCCUUUAAUAGGCUGGCCCACGGAACCCCCCACCACCACAGUAGCUAAUCUUUUAUCUACCACCUGAUUUAUUAAAUUUCUUUCUACAUGACAUGGCAAUUUAUCGCAACCUAGCCUCUCAAGGCUAAAUACACAGUACAAAUAAUUCUAACACCAAAAUCAGUUUAGCCAUUCAUGCUCAUUUAUUGUCAUAAGUCAUUCAAUUUAAAACCAUAAAUUUACAACACAAGUAAGCAGUCUCCAAUUACUCUAUUUUCAAAACCAGUAUUCGAUUUUUCAAAAAAUUUAUAAAAUCAUUUUAUAAAAUCACAAUUUCUCUUAAAACAUUGCAAUUUACCAUUUAAACCCAUUUUCCAUAAAAUCACACAAUUGUAUAAAACUAUUCUAGAUAAUUAAGACGAUAAUAAGUUUACUCACAGUUUCCGAAAACUAAAUUCGGGUACUCCAACUAUUACUCCUCGAGUGUGAUUUCUUUACCCUUGCUAGAGGAUUCUCCACCUUGACAAAUUAUACAAUUAAGAGGUUUACUACUUUGGUACUAAACCAAAAUAAACUAAUUUAUACUACUAAUGCAUGAUAUGAAGUGCAAAAUGUCUAAAUUUUAACUAAACGAAAUGUUAGCCUAUUUCGAUCUUUUACCCGAUAAAUCGAUAUACGCGUCCGUUUAAACUCCAAAUUAAUUUUUUUCAAUUUCUAUACCUCAACUGCACCCAAAUUGACUUAAUGUUCCUUAGUGUGGAGCGAAUUAUCAGUCUCGGUAGCAAAUUACGAAAAUACCCCUAGUGGGUAAAAAUUCAUAUUUUUGCUUCGAAAAUUCCCAUUAUUUUUCUAGGCUCAUAAUUCAUCAUUAUUCAUCAUAAUUCCUCAAAUAAACAUCAAGAUCAACAGCCAAUAUUCCCCUAAAAAAUUCAGCAUAAUGAGUUUCAAUGGGAGAAAAUUAUUUCUCUAGCUUAUUUUUGCUAUAUUUCAAUAUAACCUAACUAAAAUCACUUAAUUCAAUUAAAAUCAACCAAAACUCAAGUUCAAAACUCAUCCAUGGAGGUUUGGCCAGCAUGGGUGUCCAUUCCCAGUUUCUAAUUUUGCAUGGAAAUGAGAAAAAAAUGCAUGGGUAGUGAAAAUCACAAGGAAAAUCAAUGAAAUUUACCUUUUUAAUGCUUGAUUUCCUUAUUUCUCUUGAUUUUCCCCAAAUUUUUUUCAGCUAGGGUUCUUAUUUCUUUCCUCCUUUUUCUCUCCUGGUUUGGACAGCUGAAGAAGAUGAGAAUUCUGGAAUUUUUGACAUUUUUUAAAGGCUAAAUUAAUAUAAUAUUAUUUUAUUUAUUUUUUUUGUUUUAUUAAUUCCUUAAAUUCUAGCCAUCCAUUUAUUUUCAAAUUUUCACCAUACACUUGUCCCACAUAUCCAUAGCUUAGAUAAAAUUCUCAGACUUAUCCAAAGUCUUGGUGGAGUAAUUUUUGAAAUUUACACUUUUACCCCCGUAAAAGUUAAAAAUUACAUAGACAUAUUUUUCAUCCCUUAUACUCAUACCAUUCUCUAAUUUGUCAAAUUUGAUCUAAAUUCUCUCAAAAUCUCAAAUUUUGUCCGUGGGUGAAAAAAUUACGAUUCUUGCCCCUACACUCCAAAAAUCACCGGAAUUAAACUUUUUCACUGCCAAACCCUCAAAUUAUGCUCCAAUACUCAAAUCAUACUCCAAUAAGUUAAAUGGGGCCAAAAAAAUCUUUUCUCAAAAUUUCCACUUUGUCCCCAAGUGGCAAAUGACCAUUUUGCCCCCUAGAUAGUGAAAAUUUUGGUUUGACUCCAAAUUGAUCCUCGAACUCCGAAUUACCAUUUUGAGUCAUCCCUGAACUGUGAAACUCUUAAUUUCACCUCAAAAUUCCUAUUUGAACUAGUUUGAGGCUUAAUCGACUUAAUGGUACCAUUAGGGGCAAUAUCUAUUUUAACGAUUCCUCGAACUUCUAAACAUGCAAACAUUCUAUUGAGCAUGUAAAUGACGUCGUAAUUAUUUUAUAGAACAGGGUUUGACAUCUUAUUCAACUCCAAAUAUAUUCAUUAUACUUCCAAUAAUCUAAUACACCAAAGCAUUACAAUGAACUUGAUUUUUGACUAACUUCACCAUUUUUUGAAAUUCAUUCCGAUUUCGAACUGACAUACUAAUCAAUGUCUACACAGUCUCGUAAAUCCAUAUAUAUAUCAUUAGGAAUCAAAUCCAAGUCUAUUUACUAUGAUUUUCUCAUUUUCCAUCAAGCCAUUUUCUAAAGGAACUAUAUUUUUCAAUAACCGGUUUCGAUAUCUAACACCAUAUUUCAUCAACUCCUAGCUAAAUAACAUGAAAUACAACCAAAUCCAUCAUCAAUAUGCCUUAUAGAAAAUUCGGCCAAAUGAGGGUUAUUGAAGAACUUGUGAUUUUCUUGCUUGUUUUUCCUUCCAAACAUCACAAAAUGACUAAAAAUACUAGGAUAUUAUGAAAUCUAGCAAAAUUCAUCACCAAAACUUCUCUCUCUAGAUUUGGCCAGCAAAGGUUCCCUCUUGAAAACUUGAAUUUCAGCCAUGGAGAAUAAAAAAGAAUGCAUGGGAAAGGUAGUUCACAAGCUAAAAUUAAAAAAUCUUACCUUUACUUGCUUGAUUUCUUGAAAUCCAACAAUUUCUCUUGAAUUUUUCCUUCCUAGGGUUUGUUCUUCUCUUUUUCUCUUU